AGUGAACGCUGGCGGUAGGCCUAACACAUGCAAGUCGAACGGCAGCACAGUAAGAGCUUGCUCUUACGGGUGGCGAGUGGCGGACGGGUGAGGAAUACAUCGGAAUCUACUUUUUCGUGGGGGAUAACGUAGGGAAACUUACGCUAAUACCGCAUACGACCUACGGGUGAAAGCAGGGGAUCUUCGGACCUUGCGCGAUUGAAUGAGCCGAUGUCGGAUUAGCUAGUUGGCGGGGUAAAGGCCCACCAAGGCGACGAUCCGUAGCUGGUCUGAGAGGAUGAUCGGCCGCACUGGAACUGGGACACGGUCCAGACUCCUACGAGAGGCAGCAGUGGGGAAUAUUGGACAAUGGGCGCAAGCCUGAUCCAGCCAUACCGCGUGGGUGAAGAAGGCCUUCGGGUUGUAAAGCCCUUUUGUUGGGAAAGAAAAGCAGCAGGUUAAUACCCCGCUGUUCUGACGGUACCCAAUGAAUAAGCACCGGCUAACUUCGUG
Molecule: ribosomal RNA, 492 nt
Filed under: uncultured bacterium
Lineage: Bacteria
Description: partial 16S ribosomal RNA
Rfam family: Bacterial small subunit ribosomal RNA
Source: RNAcentral